This 610-nucleotide ribosomal RNA is filed under the name Salmonella enterica. RNAcentral's name for it is "partial 23S ribosomal RNA". It matches the Rfam family "Bacterial large subunit ribosomal RNA", at positions 1 to 641 of the family's 2925-position model. The record is from RNAcentral. Lineage: Bacteria; Pseudomonadati; Pseudomonadota; Gammaproteobacteria; Enterobacterales; Enterobacteriaceae.
GGGUUGUGAGGUUAAGCGACUAAGCGUACACGGUGGAUGCCCUGGCAGUCAGAGGCGAUGAAGGACGUGCUAAUCUGCGAUAAGCGCCGGUAAGGUGAUAUGAACCGUUAUAACCGGCGAUUUCCGAAUGGGGAAACCCAGUGUGACUCGUCACACUAUCAUUAACUGAAUCCAUAGGUUAAUGAGGCGAACCGGGGGAACUGAAACAUCUAAGUACCCCGAGGAAAAGAAAUCAACCGAGAUUCCCCCAGUAGCGGCGAGCGAACGGGGAGGAGCCCAGAGCCUGAAUCAGCAUGUGUGUUAGUGGAAGCGUCUGGAAAGGCGCGCGAUACAGGGUGACAGCCCCGUACACAAAAGCGCAUGUGCUGUGAGCUCGAUGAGUAGGGCGGGACACGUGGUAUCCUGUCUGAAUAUGGGGGGACCAUCCUCCAAGGCUAAAUACUCCUGACUGACCGAUAGUGAACCAGUACCGUGAGGGAAAGGCGAAAAGAACCCCGGCGAGGGGAGUGAAAAAGAACCUGAAACCGUGUACGUACAAGCAGUGGGAGCACCCUUUGGGGUGUGACUGCGUACCUUUUGUAUAAUGGGUCAGCGACUUAUAUUCUGUAGC